GUAUAUGCCUACAACAUAGAAUUAAUGCACCAGGUCCCAUUCUAACUCCAUAGUUAAGUGUCCUCAGGCUAGAUUAGUACUGGGAUGGAUGACUGCCCAGGAAUCCAUAGUGUUUUAAAUU
Molecule: non-coding RNA, 121 nt
Organism: Picea glauca (white spruce)
Lineage: Eukaryota; Viridiplantae; Streptophyta; Pinopsida; Pinales; Pinaceae
Source: Rfam